Molecule: ribosomal RNA, 793 nt
Filed under: uncultured bacterium
Lineage: Bacteria
Description: bacterial SSU rRNA
Rfam family: Bacterial small subunit ribosomal RNA
Source: RNAcentral
AGUUCUCGUUGAUGAUCGGUGCUUGCACCGAGAUUCAACAUCGAACGAGUGGCGGACGGGUGAGUAACACGUGGGUAACCUGCCCUUAAGUGGGGGAUAACAUUUGGAAACAGAUGCUAAUACCGCAUAGAUCCAAGAACCGCAUGGUUCUUGGCUGAAAGAUGGCGUAAGCUAUCGCUUUUGGAUGGACCCGCGGCGUAUUAGCUAGUUGGUGAGGUAAUGGCUCACCAAGGCGAUGAUACGUAGCCGAACUGAGAGGUUGAUCGGCCACAUUGGGACUGAGACACGGCCCAAACUCCUACGGGAGGCAGCAGUAGGGAAUCUUCCACAAUGGACGCAAGUCUGAUGGAGCAACGCCGCGUGAGUGAAGAAGGCUUUCGGGUCGUAAAACUCUGUUGUUGGAGAAGAAUGGUCGGCAGAGUAACUGUUGCCGGCGUGACGGUAUCCAACCAGAAAGCCACGGCUAACUACGUGCCAGCAGCCGCGGUAAUACGUAGGUGGCAAGCGUUAUCCGGAUUUAUUGGGCGUAAGGCGAGCGCAGGCGGUUUUUUAAGUCUGAUGUGAAAGCCCUCGGCUUAACCGAGGAAGCGCAUCGGAAACUGGGAAACUUGAGUGCAGAAGAGGACAGUGGAACUCCAUGUGUAGCGGUGAAAUGCGUAGAUAUAUGGAAGAACACCAGUGGCGAAGGCGGCUGUCUGGUCUGUAACUGACGCUGAGGCUCGAAAGCAUGGGUAGCGAACAGGAUUAGAUACCCUGGUAGUCCAUGCCGUAAACGAUGAAUGCUAGGUGUUGG